This is a long non-coding RNA of Crotalus tigris (Tiger rattlesnake), 1510 nucleotides long. RefSeq lists it as uncharacterized. The transcript is spliced from 3 exons. Lineage: Eukaryota; Metazoa; Chordata; Lepidosauria; Squamata; Viperidae. The record is from RefSeq and is a predicted model, not a curated record.
GCCGCUACCGCGUCUCUCGGACCCCGAAAGGGACGAUGCUGCGGGGCGCCGGGGGGCAAAAAUGUCUCUCUCCGGUGCUCCCGCGGCCCAAGCCCUCGAGCUCGAGGCCGGGCAGGGCCUUUUGAGCUUUUGAGGCAUGAAUCCAUAUAGACGAAGAAGAAGACACCAACAGUAAGACAGGUGGUUUAAUUCAUUCUCCAGUAUAUCAUGAAAGUGUGGAAGCCUGGCAGAUACUGUUUGCAACAUGUUUAUUCCUGUAAAAAUUGUUUACAAAGUAUCAAUGGUAAAAAAAAAAAUUGAGCUGUCCCAAUUUUAGCUAUUAGCUGCGGUUCUUAGAAUUAGACAGGGUCCUACGAGCAUCCCACAUACCCACAGACAUGGCGAUUUUGGUGAUGCCCCCCCCUGGUGGAGGUCUUUCAGUCCCUGAGCUUCCACUCUGUGACACUCACACUGAAUGAGCCGGGGAAGCAAACUGCUACCUGUCUCAUUGAAUCCCUGAGCAAACACUGUGGGGGACUCACACUGGAAGUCCUCUCUGGGGUGGGGCUGGGUGACCCUUUCAGUCCCUGAGCACGCACUGAGGGCGAAUCACACUGGUAGAGUGAACAGGGUCCACUCCUCCAAUGCCUGAGGACCCCCUCAGUGAGACUCAAACUGGAAGGCAAUCCUUUGCAAUCGCCUCACACUAGAAAUAAGGCGUCCUUGGUGGUCUCUGAGCUUGGUGGUUUUCUUGUAGACGUUUCAUUAGCAAACUAGGGAACAUCAUCAGUGCUAGUAGAAGGGAGUGUGGUUUGCUGUCAGGUUAUGUUCGAGUAGCUUCUUUCAGUGUUGUUUAAAAUGGUCUUGGAGGUCCUUUGUUGUGCUAUUUGUUGUUAGCUUGACCGUUCCUUGAUUGCGGUGUUGUUUUCUUGCCAUGGCGAUGGCUUUUAGAACCUGAAAUAAAACUUCAACGGCCAUUUUUAAUAUUAGCUGUGGCCGUUGAGGUUAGGGUUUUCUAGCUUUGCAGACUGAGCGGAGGAAGAAUCGCACACCUGCUGCUAAAAGUUCCUCGAAAGAGACAACACUUGCUGGCCACGACUGAGGAAGAAACAAAAGCAAAAGAAGAAAGAAGAAAGCAUGAAAAUGUCUCCAGCUCAAGCCCUUCGGCUGUGAUGUGGUCUCCUACGCUGUGAGGCAUGUAUUCUACACCACCUUAGAAGACAGAAGUCUCAGUCGUCAGCCUGCGCCGUUGAUGGAAGAAGGAAGAAUGGAACGCAAGAAUGAAUAUGAUCUCCAUCAAGAAUGCUACUUCACCAAGUCAAUCAAAACUCACCUUUAGAUGCUAGAUUUUAUACCAUUCUUGCCUGCUGUAAAUUUAGCCAUGGCGAUGGUUAUUAGAACCAAAAAAACCCUCCUCAAUGGCCCUAUUUAAUCCUAGGCAUGGCUGUUGAUGGAUUAUAGAUUUUAUAGUUUUCUGCCUGGCGUAAUUCUAGCCAUGGCAAUGGUUCUUAGAACCAGAAGGAAAACCUCA